Molecule: ribosomal RNA, 462 nt
Filed under: uncultured Planctomycetaceae bacterium
Lineage: Bacteria; Pseudomonadati; Planctomycetota; Planctomycetia; Planctomycetales; Planctomycetaceae
Description: partial 16S ribosomal RNA
Source: RNAcentral
GACUACCAGGGUAUCUAAGCCCGUUCGCUACCCUAGCUUUCGCGCCUCAGCGUCAGAAAAGAUCCAGUGAGCCGCUUUCGCCACCGGUGUUCCUUAGGAUAUCAACGCAUUUCACCGCUCCACCCUAAGUUCCGCUCACCUCUAUCUUCCUCGAGCACGGCAGUUUUGGGCGCAGUUCCUCGGUUGAGCCGAGGUAUUUCACACCCAACUUGCCGCGCCGCCUACGCACCCUUUAAGCCCAGUGAUUCCGAAUAACGUUUGGACGGUUCGUCUUACCGCGGCUGCUGGCACGAACUUAGCCCGUCCUUCCUCUGAGGCUAUGUCAAACAGAUGGGAGAACCCACCUGCAUUUCAUCCCCUCUAACAGUGGUUUACAACCCGAAGGCCUUCAUCCCACACGCGGCGUCGCUCGGUCAGGCUUGCGCCCAUUGCCGAAGAUUCUCGACUGCAGCCCCCCGUAGG